CAUUCAUAUAAAUAAGCCCUCUCACCCCCGCUGCAAAUCAUUUAUGGACAUUAUGGAUGUAUUAGGAUUCCAGCAACGCAUUCAGGGUUCGACACAGUUUUGUGGAAAUACCCUGGAUUUGGUCCUCGUUCAUGGUAUCACUGUCACAAAUAUUGACAUCAUACACCAUGUGUCUGUGG
This is a long non-coding RNA of Thalassophryne amazonica, 179 nucleotides long. RefSeq lists it as uncharacterized. NCBI's taxonomy places the organism in Eukaryota, Metazoa, Chordata, Actinopteri, Batrachoidiformes, Batrachoididae. The record is from RefSeq and is a predicted model, not a curated record. The transcript is spliced from 3 exons.